AUUGAACGCUGGCGGCAUGCUUUACACAUGCAAGUCGAACGGUAACAGGUUAAGCUGACGAGUGGCGAACGGGUGAGUAAUGCAUCGGAACGUGCCCGGUCGUGGGGGAUAACGCAGCGAAAGCUGCGCUAAUACCGCAUACGAUCUGAGGAUGAAAGCGGGGGACCGUAAGGCCUCGCGCGAUCGGAGCGGCCGAUGUCAGAUUAGGUAGUUGGUGGGGUAAAGGCUCACCAAGCCAACGAUCUGUAGCUGGUCUGAGAGGACGACCAGCCACACGGGGACGGAGACACGGCCCAGACUCCUACGGGAGGCAGCAGUGGGGAAUUUUGGACAAUGGGCGAAAGCCUGAUCCAGCAAUGCCGCGUGCAGGAAGAAGGCCUUCGGGUUGUAAACUGCUUUUGUACGGAGCGAAAAGGUCUCCUCUAAUACAGGGGGCUCAUGACGGUACCGUAAGAAUAAGCACCGGCUAACUACGUGCCAGCAGCCGCCGUAA
This 493-nucleotide ribosomal RNA is filed under the name uncultured bacterium. Its description in RNAcentral is "partial 16S ribosomal RNA". It matches the Rfam family "Bacterial small subunit ribosomal RNA", at positions 29 to 523 of the family's 1533-position model. The record is from RNAcentral.